RNAcentral lists this small nucleolar RNA (119 nucleotides) under Nannospalax galili (Upper Galilee mountains blind mole rat). RNAcentral describes it as "Small nucleolar RNA SNORA40 (ENSNGAG00000007301.1)". It matches the Rfam family "Small nucleolar RNA SNORA40". From Rfam's summary of the family: The snoRNA ACA 40 belongs to the H/ACA family of snoRNAs and guides the pseudouridylation of 28S rRNA subunit at position U4565. NB This family has a high threshold value to exclude a large number of closely related sequences that do not appear to have conserved H and ACA boxes, and may be pseudogenes. The record is from Rfam by way of RNAcentral. Lineage: Eukaryota; Metazoa; Chordata; Mammalia; Rodentia; Spalacidae.
GGCAUUUGUGUGUGUUUGUUUAACUUGUGGACACUUAUAGAUCAACGCUCAUAUAAAUCCUCUUCUGCAACCAAGAAGUCAUUGUUCAGUAUAAGUUUUGGCACACUGAAAAGGAAUGU